Oryza sativa Japonica Group (Japanese rice) is the source of this 2081-nucleotide long non-coding RNA. RefSeq lists it as uncharacterized. Lineage: Eukaryota; Viridiplantae; Streptophyta; Magnoliopsida; Poales; Poaceae. The record is from RefSeq and is a predicted model, not a curated record.
CCUUUCAUCUUCACUGCUUGUUCUUUCUUUUCUUCAUCAAGCUGAGCUCUCAUCUCACUUCUCCUCCCCAAAUCCCAUCCAAUAGCCUAAGAUCAAUCCCUGCAUGUAAGACCACAACAAUCCCUAUCAUAAAAACUUUGCAUCCAUCCCAACAUCUUGCACAUGCAUGGAGAGUUGAGAGAGAUCGAGAAGGAACAAAAGAGUGGUGGUUUCAGCCUGCAGGGCUGCAGCAGCAGCAUUUUGUUUUCCUCCAUUUGGUUGUCCACUCCAUUGCUGCAGCUAGAAGGUGGCUGCAACUCACCCCGAGUUCAUAUCUUUUGAUUUCGGUUGAAGCAGCCCUAGGCAACGUCUCUUGCCGUCAGCCCAAGACCUUGCUCCAUCUCUUGCCAUCAGCCCGAGGCCUUAGCCUCGCAUGACCCUACGUCCAGGUUGCUACCAUGUGAGCGAAGUCCGAUGGAAGUUGGAGAAAAGGGGAGUGAAAAUAGAAAUCGAUUUCAAAGAUAUCUAUUGAGCUAAAAGAGAUUCGGAGAUUCCGGAGAGUAACGAGCCAUAUCCUGAGGAGGAUAGUGACUACCCUCAGCAGCAAGGCAAGCACCUAAGCAUAUAGAACCUGUGCUUUCUCUAAAAAUGAUUUGGUUGCAAUCUAUACGUAUAUAUAUAUGCAUGUAUUGCCUAGAUAUUAAUAUUGUCGAUUUAUGGUGUAUGGGUAGAACCUAUUUAUGCAUUUAGUUCUUGUGAUAUUGCUGUCCUUAUACCCCAUUACCAUUGGUUGGGAUUGCUUGGGAUGUCUUAUUCAUUAAUGCUUAGCCAUGCUUAGUGCUAAUAGAACUAUAGUGAUAGACAGUGCUAUUAAUUGUGGUAUAUAGACAACUUGCAUUAUUGGGCAUAAAACUUGAGCACUUACACUACUAAAUAAUGGUUGAUGAAAUAUGUUGGACUUGGACGGGUGAUAGGGCAAUGAUGGGAGGUUGGUUUCCCCUGAUGCAAGUAGCCCCGUCUAGGUUGUUAAGGACUGAACAUUUUGACAUCUAAUCAAGCACCCUACGUACUUAUCACAUGCCUUAUUUUGGGACCGGCUUGUUCUUACUAGUUCUAUUGUGAUCAUUUAUACCACGUUGGAGAGUUGUGAGGCAGGUAGCCUUUGGAGGGCCUCGGGUGCCUAGGUUUGGCCGGGGGUGCCUCCCGCGUGGCGCGCCCGCCUUGGUCACAUCACGCACGCACGUGACUGAGUCGUCGGGAAGGCUAGCGUGGUAUAGGUGGUUGGGGUGGGGCUAAGAAAGGGCAUGUAAUGAGCUUGAAUCACUUGUGUACCGCAGUUGACGGGGUGUGUAGCAUUUGAUCUUUGUUCAUUUCGUGUGGGACCAGUUGUACACCUCUGAUCAGAGUAUAAUCUAUUCGAAUAGUCGCGUCCUCGGUGAUGGACAAUGCUUGAUGUGUUAGUCAGUUAUGUUAGCAUCAAAUGUGGAUUAUUAUGGAUGGGAUUAUGUUCGAUGGUGGUGUUGGCAUGUUGUGCCAUGUUGGUAUAGACUUUGGUAGUCCAUGGUUGAUGAUGAGAGCGCCGUUUGGGCUCAUUUGCUUAUACAUUUCAGAAUUAUAUACUUGCUGUCCAUAAAUUAAAAUGAUGCUAGAUUUACUUAUCCUUGCUUAUUUUACUCAUUAAUUGCUCAAUAAAAUUAGCUUUAUGCAAAUGUUGAACCUAGAGACCCACUAUAGCCUAGAAAGCUUGCAUACUUCUCUCUCCCUUAUGUAUAUAUAAUUUUGGGUAAGACUUGCGAGUACAAUCUUGUACUUAACCCGGUGUCUGCAAUUUCAAGAGAGGAUUCCGGUUAUGAGUUAUGCUUCUUGUGUGGUAAUUGCUUAGACGAGGGCGGCGAGGGCAAUGAGUGAUCUCUUGCAGCUUGGCUCUUGCCCGGUUGGUUUGCAUUAGUGGGGUUGUGGCACCACCGGUUUUAUCUUUUGCUUAUGAACUCUAUUUGAGACUUCCGCUGCUAUAUUUAUGUGUUGUAUGUUGGGACCUCGGACCCUAUUAUGUGCCAUGUACCUCGCUGCACUUUAACCCUAUUAUGGUACUUGCUAUGUUU